This 497-nucleotide ribosomal RNA is filed under the name uncultured bacterium. RNAcentral describes it as "partial 16S ribosomal RNA". It matches the Rfam family "Bacterial small subunit ribosomal RNA", at positions 28 to 507 of the family's 1533-position model. The record is from RNAcentral.
GACGAACGCUGGCGGCGUGCCUAAUACAUGCAAGUUGAGCGCUGAAGGUUGGUACUUAUACCAACUGGAUGAGCAGCGAACGGGUGAGUAACGCGUGGGGAAUCUGCCUUUGAGCGGGGGACAACAUUUGGAAACGAAUGCUAAUACCGCAUAAAAACUUUAAACACAAGUUUUAAGUUUGAAAGAUGCAAUUGCAUCACUCAAAGAUGAUCCCGCGUUGUAUUAGCUAGUUGGUGAGGUAAAGGCUCACCAAGGCGAUGAUACAUAGCCGACCUGAGAGGGUGAUCGGCCACAUUGGGACUGAGACACGGCCCAAACUCCUACGGGAGGCAGCAGUAGGGAAUCUUCGGCAAUGGACGAAAGUCUGACCGAGCAACGCCGCGUGAGGGAAGAAGGUUUUCGGAUCGUAAAACUCUGUUGGUAGAGAAGAACGUUGGUGAGAGUGGAAAGCUCAUCAAGUGACGGUAACUACCCAGAAAGGGACGGCUAACUACGUG